UGUGCCUUGAGGCGUGGCUUCCGGAGCUAACGCGUUAAAUCGACCGCCUGGGGAGUACGGCCGCAAGGUUAAAACUCAAAUGAAUUGACGGGGGCCCGCACAAGCGGUGGAGCAUGUGGUUUAAUUCGAUGCAACGCGAAGAACCUUACCUACUCUUGACAUCCAGAGAACUUAGCAGAGAUGCUUUGGUGCCUUCGGGAACUCUGAGACAGGUGCUGCAUGGCUGUCGUCAGCUCGUGUUGUGAAAUGUUGGGUUAAGUCCCGCAACGAGCGCAACCCUUAUCCUUUGUUGCCAGCGGUUCGGCCGGGAACUCAAAGGAGACUGCCAGUGAUAAACUGGAGGAAGGUGGGGAUGACGUCAAGUCAUCAUGGCCCUUACGAGUAGGGCUACACACGUGCUACAAUGGCAUAUACAAAGAGAAGCGACCUCGCGAGAGCAAGCGGACCUCAUAAAGUAUGUCGUAGUCCGGAUUGGAGUCUGCAACUCGACUCCAUGAAGUCGGAAUCGCUAGUAAUCGUAGAUCAGAAUGCUACGGUGAAUACGUUCCCGGGCCUUGCACUCCCCGCCCGUCAAAA
This 576-nucleotide ribosomal RNA is filed under the name Enterobacterales bacterium. Its description in RNAcentral is "bacterial SSU rRNA". It matches the Rfam family "Bacterial small subunit ribosomal RNA", at positions 825 to 1402 of the family's 1533-position model. The record is from RNAcentral. Lineage: Bacteria; Pseudomonadati; Pseudomonadota; Gammaproteobacteria; Enterobacterales.